AUUGAACGCUGGCGGCAGGCUUAACACAUGCAAGUCGAGCGGAGAUGAGGUGCUUGCACCUUAUCUUAGCGGCGGACGGGUGAGUAAUGCUUAGGAAUCUGCCUAUUAGUGGGGGACAACAUUCCGAAAGGAAUGCUAAUACCGCAUACGUCCUACGGGAGAAAGCAGGGGAUCUUCGGACCUUGCGCUAAUAGAUGAGCCUAAGUCGGAUUAGCUAGUUGGUGGGGUAAAGGCCUACCAAGGCGACGAUCUGUAGCGGGUCUGAGAGGAUGAUCCGCCACACUGGGACGGAGACACGGCCCAGAUUCCUACGGGAGGCAGCAGUGGGGAAUAUUGGACAAUGGGGGAAACCCUGAUCCAGCCAUGCCGCGUGUGUGAAGAAGGCCUUAUGGUUGUAAAGCACUUUAAGCGAGGAGGAGGCUACUGAGACUAAUACUCUUGGAUAGUGGACGUUACUCGCAGAAUAAGCACCGGCUAACUCUGUGCCAGCAGCCGCCGUAA
This 501-nucleotide ribosomal RNA is filed under the name uncultured bacterium. RNAcentral describes it as "partial 16S ribosomal RNA". It matches the Rfam family "Bacterial small subunit ribosomal RNA", at positions 30 to 523 of the family's 1533-position model. The record is from RNAcentral.